Molecule: ribosomal RNA, 301 nt
Filed under: uncultured bacterium
Lineage: Bacteria
Description: partial 16S ribosomal RNA
Rfam family: Bacterial small subunit ribosomal RNA
Source: RNAcentral
CAGCAGCCGCGGUAAUACGAAGGGUGCAAGCGUUACUCGGAAUUACUGGGCGUAAAGCGUGCGUAGGUGGUGGCUUAAGUCCGUUGUGAAAGCCCUGGGCUCAACCUGGGAAUUGCAGUGGAUACUGGGUCACUAGAGUGUGGUAGAGGAUAGUGGAAUUUCCGGUGUAGCAGUGAAAUGCGUAGAGAUCGGAAGGAACAUCUGUGGCGAAGGCGACUAUCUGGGCCAACACUGACACUGAGGCACGAAAGCGUGGGGAGCAAACAGGAUUAGAUACCCGCGUAGUCCCUGUCUCUUAUAC